GACGAACCGUGCGAACGUUGUUCGGAAUCACCGGGCUUAAAGGGCGCGUAGGCGGCUUGCCAAGUCAGGGGUGAAAUCUUUCGGCUUAACCGGAAAAGUGCCUUUGAUACUGGCAGGCUAGAGGGAGGUAGGGGCAUGCGGAACUUCCGGUGGAGCGGUGAAAUGCGUUGAUAUCGGAAGGAACGCCGGUGGCGAAAGCGGCGUGCUGGACCUCUUCUGACGCUGAGGCGCGAAAGCUAGGGGAGCAAACGGG
RNAcentral lists this ribosomal RNA (253 nucleotides) under uncultured bacterium. Its description in RNAcentral is "partial 16S ribosomal RNA". It matches the Rfam family "Bacterial small subunit ribosomal RNA", at positions 524 to 776 of the family's 1533-position model. The record is from RNAcentral.